CCAGGGCUAGAUCUUUGUGAAAAAUAUUUUUAUUCUCUUUUUUUUUUUCAUUUUUACUUUUUAGUGGUGAAAAUUAAGGGGGGAAAGAAGGAAAAUUUGCUCUGAAAUGACUAUACUGCAAAAACUUAAAGAAAAAAGGGGGUGGGUCUUGGCUGAAAUCAAGCUGACACCUUUUAAAGUCAUUUUCAUUAAAAAAAAGACCACCAAAAACAACUGAGUUAAAUACUUCUAGUGUAUUAUUUUGCAAGUGUUCAAUAUUUGGAAAAUACUCCACUAGAAUGCUUCAAAUUAAUAUCUUUUUCCCCUUGUUUUUGGAAUGGGUAGGAAUGGGAGCUGGCCGUGUGUGCAUCCAUUCUGAAUUUCUCGACAAGGGCUUAUGAGAAGUAUUAGAGUUCUGUAAAUGAAAAUUCUGCUCUCCCCUUGAUCCACAAAUAGACUCUAGGCAUGGGCUCACUGGAGAACACAUCUCUCCAGUCAUCACAGCUACACUGUCCACUUUCAGUACUGGUAGAGGGAGGACAUACUUCUGAGGCCAGCACAUACUUGUCAAUGUACAGAACAUCACAAUGA
This 570-nucleotide long non-coding RNA is filed under the name Numida meleagris (helmeted guineafowl). RNAcentral describes it as "lncRNA (ENSNMEG00000006780.1)". Lineage: Eukaryota; Metazoa; Chordata; Aves; Galliformes; Numididae. The record is from RNAcentral.